This 253-nucleotide ribosomal RNA is filed under the name uncultured bacterium. Its description in RNAcentral is "partial 16S ribosomal RNA". It matches the Rfam family "Bacterial small subunit ribosomal RNA", at positions 524 to 776 of the family's 1533-position model. The record is from RNAcentral.
UACGGAGGGUGCAAACGUUGCUCGGAAUCAUUGGGCGUAAAGCGCACGUAGGCGGCCUGUUAAGUCGGGUGUGAAAUCCCUCGGCUCAACCGAGGAAGUGCAUUCGAAACUGGCGGGCUUGAAUGUGGAAGAGGGUCGUGGAAUUCCCGGUGUAGAGGUGAAAUUCGUAGAUAUCGGGAGGAACACCAGUGGCGAAGGCGGCGACCUGGGCCAACAUUGACGCUGAGGUGCGAAAGCGUGGGGAGCAAGACGG